ACGGAAGGCAGCAGUGGGGAAUAUUGCACAAUGGGCGAAAGCCUGAUGCAGCUAUGCCGCGUGUAUGAAGAAGGCCUUAGGGUUGUAAAGUACUUUCAUCGGGGAGGAAAAAACAAAACUAAUAAUUUUAUUUCUUGACGUUACCCGAAAAAGAAGCACCGGCUAACUCCGUGCCAGCAGCCGCGGUAAUACGGAGGGUGCUAGCGUUAAUCAGAAUUACUGGGCGUAAAGAGCACGUAGGUGGUUUUUUUAAGUCAGAUGUGAAAUCCCUGGGCUUAACCUAGGAACUGCAUUUUGAAACUGAAAUACUAGAGUAUCGUAGAGGGAGGUAGAAUUCUAGGUGUAGCGGUGAAAUGCGUAGAUAUCUGGAGGAAUACCUGUGGCGAAAGCGGCCUCCUAAACGAAUACUGACACUGACGGUGCGAAAGCGUGGGGAGCAAACAGGGAUUAGAUACCCGU
This 459-nucleotide ribosomal RNA is filed under the name uncultured bacterium. Its description in RNAcentral is "bacterial SSU rRNA". It matches the Rfam family "Bacterial small subunit ribosomal RNA", at positions 341 to 789 of the family's 1533-position model. The record is from RNAcentral.